This 468-nucleotide ribosomal RNA is filed under the name uncultured bacterium. RNAcentral's name for it is "partial 16S ribosomal RNA". It matches the Rfam family "Bacterial small subunit ribosomal RNA", at positions 28 to 507 of the family's 1533-position model. The record is from RNAcentral.
GACGAACGCUGGCGGCGUGCUUAACACAUGCAAGUCGAACGGAAAGGCCCUGCUUUUGUGGGGUGCUCGAGUGGCGAACGGGUGAGUAACACGUGAGUAACCUGCCCUUGACUUUGGGAUAACUUCAGGAAACUGGGGCUAAUACCGUAUAGGAGCUCCUGCUGCAUGGUGGGGGUUGGAAAGUUUCGGCGGUUGGGGAUGGACUCGCGGCUUAUCAGCUUGUUGGUGGGGUAGUGGCUUACCAAGGCUUUGACGGGUAGCCGGCCUGAGAGGGUGACCGGCCACAUUGGGACUGAGAUACGGACCAGACUCCUACGGGAGGCAGCAGUGGGGAAUAUUGCACAAUGGGCGGAAGCCUGAUGCAGCAACGCCGCGUGCGGGAUGACGGCCUUCGGGUUGUAAACAGCUUUCGCCUGUGACGAAGCGUGAGUGACGGUAAUGGGUAAAGAAGCACCGGCUAACUACGUG